Ictalurus punctatus (channel catfish) is the source of this 514-nucleotide long non-coding RNA. The record is from Ensembl. NCBI's taxonomy places the organism in Eukaryota, Metazoa, Chordata, Actinopteri, Siluriformes, Ictaluridae.
AUAUAUAUAUAUAUAUAUAGCAUCAGACUUUUAAUCUGAGGGUCCAGGGUUCAAGUCCCUGUUUGGGUGUUGUAGUACCCUCCAUAUCUUCUGAGAGGACCAGUGAAACCAUCUAAGGUGCCUCUUUCCAGCAUGUUUUGUUCAGCAAGCAAAAUGGGCAAACUAAGGGUAAACAUUCAGCAGGUUGUCAAGUUACUAAUGGUUACUAGGUGAGAGUGUUGCUACAUAAGCUUUGUUACCUUUUAGCAUGAAGUUGACAAAGACAUGGGUGGUCAUCAUAGAGAUUGGAGUCCAUAUAACAGCAUCCUUAUUAGACUGCACAGAAAAUAAAUCAUGGGUCUGUGUGAAAAAGAGCACAUUGAAUGACCCCGACAUGAUUUGAACCUUCUGAUCUGGAGUCAGACGCACUUCCGUUGCGCCACGAGGUCCCAGCUCGAAGCCUAUAGCGCAUCGUGGUGCAAGGCAUACUUGUUCAUCGGCGUGGCGAUCAAGACGCAUUGGAACUCGGAGACAG